GGGCUCGUCACCUAGCCAGGAUACGGUGCCGGACUUCUAAUCCGGAUUGCGUGCGUUCGAAUCGCACCGAGCCCGCCA
RNAcentral lists this transfer RNA (78 nucleotides) under Promethearchaeota archaeon. RNAcentral's name for it is "Candidatus Lokiarchaeota archaeon (anaerobic digester metagenome) tRNA-Arg". It matches the Rfam family "tRNA". From Rfam's summary of the family: Transfer RNA (tRNA) molecules are approximately 80 nucleotides in length. Their secondary structure includes four short double-helical elements and three loops (D, anti-codon, and T loops). The record is from RNAcentral. Lineage: Archaea; Promethearchaeati; Promethearchaeota.